Long non-coding RNA from Brassica napus (rape), 1882 nucleotides. RefSeq lists it as uncharacterized. The transcript has 3 exons. Lineage: Eukaryota; Viridiplantae; Streptophyta; Magnoliopsida; Brassicales; Brassicaceae. The record is from RefSeq and is a predicted model, not a curated record.
ACAAAAAAAAUGUCAUUUUUGUAGCUAAUUUAUAGCGGUCCGUAGCUAACUAGCGACGAAUAUGAUCCGUCGCCACUCUCUAGCUAAAUAGCUACUAAUUAGCGAGGAGUAAAUUGUCGCCGAAAGAUUUAUAGUUUGAAACACAUGGCUAUAAAUGUUUAUGUAUCUAACUAAUAUGUAUGUGUUAUAUGUUUGAAAUUUUUGUUUGUGAUAUAUGUUUGAUACUAGUAAUGUUUGAAUUAAGAUAAUGUGUAUUUGUGUUAUAUAUUUGAAACACUUCAAUUUUUAUGUUUAUCAUGUUUGCUACUUUGCUUGAUACUUGAGUUAGAUAUUAUAGUAUAGGGUUUAGAUUUUAGGGGUUUGUGGUUUGGGACUUAUAUUUAAAUUUUAAACUUAAAUCCAAACUAUAAUAUAAUCAUAAUACAUGUAAAAUUGAUAAAAGGAGUUACAAUUAAUCAAUGGCAAUUAAUUAGUGAUCGAAAAAAUGAAGAAAUAUUAUCAUCAGUGUAUCAAGCAGGACAAAGAUGAUUUGUAGUUUUAGGGGUUACACUUUAAAAUAUGAAAUUUAUAGUUUUAGGGAUUACAAGAGAAUAAUAUUUGGUUCUGACUAUAUUUCCCUCCAUAAGAUUUGACUCCAAAAAUUGGCUCCAAUAAUAUUUUUGGUUUUGGCUCCAAUACAUUUUUGGCCCAAAUUUAUCACUUAUGCAAACACUAACAUGUCUCCACACUUGAAAAAAAAAGAACUCUCUACCUCUCGAAGUCUCUCUGUUUUUUUCUCUCUCAAUACCAGCGAGUCACCUCCGACUCUUCUUCUGACCAGAAUCCUCAUGGCUUGCACCGAACUACUUGUGAAUCGUCGUUGCCUACGACCACCCGAGUUAAAUCUCCCCCGUUAGUUCUCCUUCUAUGACUUGUUUUAGAUUAGGGUUUCGAUUUGUCCAUAGUUCUCCGUCUUCUUCUUCUUCUUCUUCUUCUUCUUCUAUUUAUUGUUCUGGACUAGUCAACGAUUAGGGUUUCAAUUAGUUUCAGUAUUAGAGUUUUGAUUUGGGUCUGUUUAGGCUUAGGGUUUCGAUCUGGGGGGUUUUUAUUUUACGGUUUCGAUUUGGGUCAGUGUAGGAUUAGGGUUUCGGUUUAGGGACAAAUGAUUAUUCUAUACUAGUCAUCGAUUAGGAUUGUUCUUAUCUCUGCUUUGCUGGUUUAUGUCAAUGGUUUUCUUUUUCGUUUAAAAAUUAGUCUUUGAAAUUGAUCUUUUGUUUUGGGAAAAGAUUCACUGAAGGUUCUUCUUUUCUUAUAGAUCCCCAUUGACAAGUGAUGGUUUUGUAGCCAAACGUCUGGAGAAAAUUGCCAAAGAAGUUGAAUCCAUUAUUGUUUCACAACACUUCUCCAGCUUCGACCAGGAGGUUCCAACUCACAAACAUCAGCCACACCACUUCCACGAGUUCAUGCUUCUUACUCGGUUUUGUAGAUAGCCAAGCCAUAUAAAGGAUAGUUGGAGCGAGAUUUGAUAAAUCUGACAGGAGCUGUCAACAUGAUGAGCAAGCAACUGACUCUUUUAUGUGAAGCUAAAGGUGUCACAGUAUCACCAAUACCAUAAGCCGAGAAACCACAUAAUACAUCAAAGCAUUCCAAACACAAACAUCACCAAUUGAAGUGGCAGCUACAUCUGACUCUUCUCCAUCCACUCCCCCCCCCCAUCACCAACAAGAAGGGAAUCUAAUUAUGGCAACCACCAAAUAAACAAACGAGUUUGAUGUCUUCUGCUUUUAGUUUUCACUUAUUGGUUUAGCUUCUUGUUUGUGUACUCGAAGUUUAAAAUCGACAUUUUUGUUAUGUAUGAUAAUUUCAGAUUUCUUAUAAUAAUAUAAUGUUUUAAAAUCGUUUA